GUGGGUAUAGCUCAGUGGUAGAGCAUGUGCUUAGCAUGCACAAGGCCCUGGGUUCAAUCCCCAGUACCUCCA
RNAcentral lists this transfer RNA (72 nucleotides) under Camelus bactrianus (Bactrian camel). It matches the Rfam family "tRNA". Rfam says of the family: Transfer RNA (tRNA) molecules are approximately 80 nucleotides in length. Lineage: Eukaryota; Metazoa; Chordata; Mammalia; Artiodactyla; Camelidae. RNAcentral also lists the same sequence under 3 other names. The record is from Rfam by way of RNAcentral.